GAUGGAUAUCUGGAUACCUUCAAGCAGCUGCUUGAAACACAAACCUCAAUGAAGCUAAGUUUUGACAUGAAGGAGGGGAGGGAAUUUCCUGAGCACCUAUCUAAAGAGAUUUCUGGGGGGAAGAAAUGUACAUUGGGGUAUAGGGAGGCUUAACACUCCUUGGAGGUGCAGAAAUGGACAGUGACAAAUGUCACUGAGAAAGUUGUUCAUACAAGGUAAUGACCAUCAUAUAAGUUUCUUCUAUACUUCAAAAAUAUUCAAGGAAAAUAGAACUCUCUUCUCCAAGGCCUUUCCUCUUUUUUCACUUAAAAUUUCUUUAAAAACCAACAAAAUCCCACUACAUGUUCCCCAGCUUCCCUUCUGAUAAUUAACUUAAGCAUACAUCUACAUGAUAUAUAUGUUUAGUAGUUGGGUUGAUCACCUGAGUCAUGAAUCCUUAACAGAGGUUGUCUAUGAAUCUCAUUGUUUGGUUUGGACGAUGAUGAAGAAAGAAACCUAUCCUGACUAAUUUGCCAUUCAAGAACCAAGUGCAUUUGGAUAGGUCCAAUAUUGGAAAUUCAGUAGGUUCAUGAAAGAUAAUCCUCUACUUCUGAUUUGGAUAAUGAGAUAUCCUCCUCUUGUUCACUUGCUCAGUAAGAGAAAAUGAAAAAGAGUUGCAUCUUGUCAGGUCUUUGGAACUGGAGGUAGUGCAUCAAAUAACUGAGGUCACAUUUGGACCCAACUCCAGUUCCCAAACAUAACUCAAAUAUUACUGAAAUUGAUCAUGACUUUAUACUUUGCCCAGUUUGAACUCAGAACUUUGUUGAACCUAAUUUUAUGUGUAGGUUGCCUUUACACGGAAGGGGCAAAUUUUUAUAUUAGCCUACUCUUCCUCAGCUCUUCCUUCUAAAUCCUUUAUUUCAGUCACUCAGUGUUAUCAUUUUCUUCCGUCAAAAAGUUCUUGUUUAUCAUUCCUGUCAUACUUCUAAUCUAAAAUUGUAUCUCUCAACCAGAAUUAUCUUGACAAGUUCCUAAUGAUAUCGCAUUUAUAAUCUCUUCUCUGUAUUAGUCAUCCUAAGCAGUAUCACAGUAUUUAUUAUCCUAAAACACUAUUUUAAUUAGUUCACUUCUUGCUUUAAAUCUUCUAGAAUCUUCUCGUUCUUAAUUUUGAAACUCAUUCUCUUAGCAAUCAGGAGUUGUGAAAAAUCUAUGUUCAACUUCACUAAUCCAAACAUUACCUGCAACUCCUCAACAUUAACCCUAAUCCAAAAUAUAAGCUUUUCACAUGAUAGUCACCUACCUGAAACAUCCUUCGUUUGCCCCUAAUCAAAUCCAUUUAUACACUAUUCAAACAUAAGUGAUUUCCCUGGCCCCACUCGAAUUCAUCUUCCAUUUCCCUCCCCUCAUCCUUUCUUCCAAAAACGAUUUCUAUUUCUAUACACCCCAUAGGAAUUCUUGUUAAUUCCACAUAUUUUGUUAUUUCCCAAUUGGUUUGCAUUGUAUGUGUUCUAUAUGUUUAACUUUGUCUCUAUAAUUCCCCAAGGGCAAAUAUCCUAGACAAAGAAAGUAUUUCAAAAUUUUCUUCUUAAUAAUGCCAGUUUAUCACCUCUACACUAGGUGUCAGUUGUACAGAUCUAACCAUCUGACCUGAACUCUUUUUAUAAGAAGUCUCAUAUAGUUCAAUAUAUGACAGAAAUAUUUAUUAAUAUUUCCUCAUUGUUUGACUUAACUUUGCUCCAACAAUUCUAAUGAAACCACAUUCUCCCUUCCUAAUUAGAUACAAUCUUUUUAAAAUAUCUAUUUAAAGAGUUAAUUUAUUUAUUUGAGAGAGCAGGGAGAGAGAGCACACAAGCAAUGAGGAGGGGCAGAGAGAGAGAAGGAGAGCAGACUUCUCACUGAACAGGGAGCCCAACUUGGAACUUGAUCCCAGGACCCUGAGACCAUGACCUGAGCUGAGGGCAGAUGCUUAACCAAAUAAGCCAUCCAGGUGCCCUUAAUUAGAUAUAAUCUAAUUUGGUAUCACUUAAACCUCACACUACAAUCGUUCACACUUUUUCUCCUGCUUGCAUCUAAGACAUGUCAUCAUUCUUUAAUUUAUUCAUCCAACAUACUAACUACCAUAAUCCAGAUACUCUUAAUGAACAGAUAGGACAAAGUUUCUGACCUCAUGGAACUUGUGUUCCACCCUCAAAAAGGAAAAAGAUGAUGCUUCUAUGUAAACAGGACCUACCAAAUUCACUCCUUCCCUUGGUGUCUAGAACCCUUCUUUAAGUAUGACCUUUUUUGGACAAUAAAAAUACAUAUAAUUACAUUGAUGAGGUAUGUCCAAGAAACAGAGAAAGCACUAAAAGAACUUCCAAUGGCCAAAGUUGGAACAAUUUGGAUAAGAAAAUAAAUAGAAGGGAGGAGGGGCAAGAUGGCGGGAGAGUAGGGUCCCCAAGUCACCUGUCCCCGCCAAAUUACCUAGAUAACCUUCAAAUCAUUCUGAAAAUCUAC
RNAcentral lists this long non-coding RNA (2475 nucleotides) under Canis lupus familiaris (dog). RNAcentral's name for it is "lncRNA (ENSCAFG00000050319.1)". The record is from RNAcentral. Lineage: Eukaryota; Metazoa; Chordata; Mammalia; Carnivora; Canidae.